This is a long non-coding RNA of Paramormyrops kingsleyae, 1672 nucleotides long. RefSeq lists it as uncharacterized. The record is from RefSeq and is a predicted model, not a curated record. NCBI's taxonomy places the organism in Eukaryota, Metazoa, Chordata, Actinopteri, Osteoglossiformes, Mormyridae.
AGGCAACGGAAGCCGUGAAUCAGAUCAAAAGGGCUUUAUUGCUGGGGUAACACAAUCCAAGACACGUAACGUUAAUAACCAGACUGGGGAAACGAACAGAAACGCAGACUAAAUACACUGGACUAAUGACAACAAUCAGAAACAGCUGUUAAACACUGUGAAUCCACAUGAGGUUAACGAGGGGGGCGUGGCACAGGAGGAUCGGCACGAUCGGGGUGUGACAAAUACACAUUUUUCAGAUACAGUUAAUUCCAUUGAACAACAAAAAAAAUGGCAGCAAUUUAUGGGGGGACUGGGAAAUUUUCAGAAAAUAUACAAAGGAAUCGACAGUAAUUUCAGUGGAAGUCAAUCAGAACAUGGCUAUGGAGUGCUUCCUCACUAAUUUCAGGUGUACCUUCAAUUCUGGACCUGGCACUGGUAUCAAAGCUGGAAGAAAAUGAAGCAGCAAGACAGGAAGUGUACUGAUGCCUUGGCACUUUGGUCCUGGGGAAUGUUCCUUACCAACACGACAGCUAAUAAAACGGGCAAUUUAUAAUUCACCAAAAAAAAAAUAUGUUUUUAAACUGUGGGAGGAAAACCACAGACACAGGAAGACCACACAGCCUCGACAGAGUGCAGCAAUUGAACCCAAAAACAAGCCUCACACAGAGGGUUACCAAAUGUCCUGUAUUAGCCGGGACCUCCCGUAUUUGGAUUAAAAUUUGUUUGUUUAUUGCGUACAGGACAGUCAUUGUCUUAUAUUUCAAACUCUGGGAUCUGGGUGCACUCAUAGAAUACACCACUAGAGGGCAUUACAUCUAUCUGUCUAGCUGGUUCGGUUGCAGGAAAAACCAUGACAACAAUAAAAAUAUAUCUACGUGCUAAUCUUGGGUCAGAUUCACUGUCAGUUGUAUCACAUACAUGUUUACGCAACAUAGGCACAUACGCUGAUGAACAGAUGUGCAGGUGCUGUAAGUUACGAUAGACGAAGGGCCAGCUACAAAGCAAAGAUUGUACAGCUAUAACAAGCAAUGGGAAGACAAAAUGUCACGGGUAAAAUCUGUCAAAUGCGAUCCAAUGACAGCCAUUUGCACAUUAAGCUGUCGGGAGUUUCUAAUUCGCCAUGACCUUGCUCAGCAUGCGCCCACAGAACUUUGAAAAAGCAUGUUUGACCAGCAUGUUUCAGAUUGUGUUAUUUGUACUGUGUGUCAGGCUCAAAUGCAUUUGUGGAGAGAUUUUUUUCUCUCUGAUGACCAUUAACAGUCAGACUCAAGAAAGAGAUCUCAUCAAAAGUGAACUUCAGAUCUCUGUGAACUGUCAUGCAAGGGCGUCUGUUUUACUGUGCAGAAAGACAAAGUGUUGCUAGAGUCAGUCAGGAGCAGUGAGAAGCAGCCAUGGAAGACGUAUAUUUGAAAAUGAAUCCAGACCUAAACAGGAUGCACUGUGGCAAUAUACAGGCUCCAGGUCUCCAAGUUUCUAAUCAGGUUAAAUGGCUGGAAGAUCGAUAGAUGAAUUUCACCAAAAAGAGACAAAGAAGAGGAAGAAGAAGAAGAGGAUCAAGACAUGAAAUACAGAUGAGAUUAUAUCAACAUUUGUUGACUAUGUUCUUGUCCAUGGCCUGCCAAUGAGAGAAGCUGGCCAACAGGUAUAGCCAAAUCUUCUCAGCUGCAUCAAUAAUCAGGACAUUCAGGGA